This is a small nucleolar RNA of Jaculus jaculus (lesser Egyptian jerboa), 129 nucleotides long. NCBI's taxonomy places the organism in Eukaryota, Metazoa, Chordata, Mammalia, Rodentia, Dipodidae. The record is from Ensembl.
AAGCCAGCCAAUUAAUCUACUCAUCUGAAUGUGUUUCUGUAGAAAUUUAGAAAGAGCUGGAAAUAGUGAUGCCACCCUCCAAACCCUAAGGACAACAGGUCAUUACAAUUCCCAGAAAUGGUUAUGAUA